Molecule: long non-coding RNA, 312 nt
Organism: Trifolium pratense (red clover)
Lineage: Eukaryota; Viridiplantae; Streptophyta; Magnoliopsida; Fabales; Fabaceae
Exons: 2
Source: RefSeq, a predicted model, not a curated record
UAAAACAAUUGUUAUGACUUUCUCUCCCUUCGAGAUUCAGAAAGGAGUUACAAAUUUUCUGAAAAUAUGUGUUUACUUUAUUCUAUCUUCUGGCAUGACGUGUGUUGGGACGGAGCUUGUUAAAGAUGCUGCCAAAAUUCCUAAAGGUAAUACCGUGAACCAUCAAACGGUAUGUGAAAUUAAAGUUUUUUUCCUUUAUCUGUCAUUUAAUUAGUUUUAUAUCUCUUCUCUUAGCAAUUGGGAGAAAUUGUUUUUUUGCUUAUGUAUUGAGUUACUAAAACAGAAAGAUGAUGAUAUGAUAAGUGAAGAACA